Molecule: ribosomal RNA, 460 nt
Filed under: uncultured bacterium
Lineage: Bacteria
Description: partial 16S ribosomal RNA
Rfam family: Bacterial small subunit ribosomal RNA
Source: RNAcentral
CCUACGUGGAGCAGCAGUGAGGAAUAUUGGUCAAUGGGCUUACGCCUGAACCAGCCAAGUCGCGUGAGGGAAGACUGCCCUAUGGGUUGUAAACCUCUUUUGUCAGGGAGCAACGCCGGCUACGUGUAGCCGGACUGAGAGUACCUGCAGAAAAAGCAUCGGCUAACUCCGUGCCAGCAGCCGCGGUACUACGGAGGAUGCGAUCGUUAUCCGGCUUUAUUGGGUUUAAAGGGUGCGGAGUCGGACUGCCAAGUCAGCGGUAAAAUCGCGGGGCUCAAACUCGUUCCGCCGGUGAAACUGGCGUUCUUGAGUGGGCGAGAAGUAUGCGGAAUGCGUGGUGUAGCGGUGAAAUGCAUAGAUAUCACGCAGAACUCCGAUUGCGAAGGCAGCAUACCGGCGCCCAACUGACGCUGAAGCACGAAAGCGUGGGUAUCGAACAGGAUUAGAUACCCUAGUAGUC